GGGCCCGCACAAGCGGUGGAGUAUGUGGUUUAAUUCGAUGCAACGCGAAGAACCUUACCAGGGUUUGACAUCCUGCGAAUCUCUUGGAAACGAGAGAGUGCCUUCGGGAACGCAGUGACAGGUGGUGCAUGGCUGUCGUCAGCUCGUGUCGUGAGAUGUUGGGUUAAGUCCCGCAACGAGCAGCAACCACGUCUUUAGUUGCCAGAUUUAGUUGGGCACUCUAGAGAGACUGCCGGUGAUAAACCGGAGAAGGUGUGGAUGACGUCAAGUCAUCAUGCCCCUUACAUCUGGGCUACACACGUACUACAAUGCUACGGACAAAGGGCAGCAAACUCGCGAGAGCUAGCAAAUCCCAUAAACGUGGCUC
Molecule: ribosomal RNA, 367 nt
Filed under: uncultured bacterium
Lineage: Bacteria
Description: bacterial SSU rRNA
Rfam family: Bacterial small subunit ribosomal RNA
Source: RNAcentral